GGGGAUGUAGCUCAGUUGGUAGAGUGCUUGCCUUGCAUGCACAAGGCCCUGGGUUCAAUCCCCAGCACCA
Molecule: transfer RNA, 70 nt
Filed under: Marmota marmota marmota (Alpine marmot)
Lineage: Eukaryota; Metazoa; Chordata; Mammalia; Rodentia; Sciuridae
Also listed under: 5 other names
Rfam family: tRNA
About the family: Transfer RNA (tRNA) molecules are approximately 80 nucleotides in length. Their secondary structure includes four short double-helical elements and three loops (D, anti-codon, and T loops). Further hydrogen bonds mediate the characteristic L-shaped molecular structure. tRNAs have two regions of fundamental functional importance: the anti-codon, which is responsible for specific mRNA codon recognition, and the 3' end, to which the tRNAs corresponding amino acid is attached (by aminoacyl-tRNA synthetases). tRNAs cope with the degeneracy of the genetic code in two manners: having more than one tRNA (with a specific anti-codon) for a particular amino acid; and 'wobble' base-pairing, i.e. permitting non-standard base-pairing at the 3rd anti-codon position.
Source: Rfam by way of RNAcentral